GUACUCACUUUGGCAAUGCAUAUGCUAAAGAACUGGACUGAUACAGAGAAGAUUAGGGUGGCCCCUGCACAAGGAUGACAGGCAAAAAUGUAUCUAUUUGGAAACGGUU
Molecule: small nuclear RNA, 109 nt
Organism: Vulpes vulpes (red fox)
Lineage: Eukaryota; Metazoa; Chordata; Mammalia; Carnivora; Canidae
Source: Ensembl